AAAUAUAGUGGCGGAGCUAGGUCGUGCUCUAAGCGUAGUAACCAAAUUCUCGCUUCUGAAGCCGGCCCGGGUCCUGCCGUAAAACCCCCUAUAUUUUUCUGGUUGACCUCGGAUCAGGUAGGAAUACCCGCUGAACUUAAGCAUAUCAAUAAGCGGAGGAAAAGAAACCAACAGGGAUUGCCCUAGUAACGGCGAGUGAAGCGGCAACAGCUCAAAUUUGAAAUCUGGCCUUCGGGUCCGAGUUGUAAUUUGCAGAGGAUGCUUUUGGCGCGGUGCCUUCCGAGUUCCCUGGAACGGGACGCCUUAGAGGGUGAGAGCCCCGUACGGUUGGACACCAAGCCUCUGUAAAGCUCCUUCGACGAGUCGAGUAGUUUGGGAAUGCUGCUCUAAAUGGGAGGUAAAUUUCUUCUAAAGCUAAAUACCGGCCAGAGACCGAUAGCGCACAAGUAGAGUGAUCGAAAGAUGAAAAGCACUUUGAAAAGAGGGUUAAAUAGCACGUGAAAUUGUUGAAAGGGAAGCGUUUACGGCCAGACCUUUUCCUGGCGGAUCAUCUGGUGUUCUCACCAGUGCACUUCGCCAGGUUUAGGCCAGCAUCGGCUUCUGUAGGGGGAUAAAAGCAGUGGGAAAGUAGCUCCCUCGGGAGUGUUAUAGCCCUAAGCAUAAUACCCUUAC
Molecule: ribosomal RNA, 672 nt
Filed under: Sordariomycetes sp.
Lineage: Eukaryota; Fungi; Ascomycota; Sordariomycetes
Description: eukaryotic LSU rRNA
Rfam family: Eukaryotic large subunit ribosomal RNA (bases 104-672)
Source: RNAcentral